UACGACUACAUAUCAGGCAUAUCAAUAAGCGGAGGAAAAGAAACUAACAAGGAUUCCCUUAGUAACGGCGAGUGAAGCGGGAAGAGCUCAAAUUUGAAAUCUUCAAGGUUUUACCUUGACGAAUUGUAGUUUAAAGAAGUGUUUUCUGUUGGUGUUUCGGUAAAAGUUCUUUGGAAUAGGACAUCAUAGAGGGUGAGAAUCCCGUAUUUGACCAUUACUUCCAGCGUUGUGAUACACUUUCAAAGAGUCGGAUUGUUUGGGAAUGCAGUCCAAAAUGGGUGGUAAAUUUCAUCUAAAGCUAAAUAUUGGCGAGAGACCGAUAGCGAACAAGUACCGUGAGGGAAAGAUGAAAAGAACUUUGAAAAGAGAGUUAAACAGUACGUGAAAUUGUCAAAAGGGAAGCGUUUGACACCAGUGUUGUUUUCUCGAAAAUCAAUUAAAAAUGAUGGAUUUUGUGUUGUAUUGACUUUAUCAGCUUUCUGCACUCUUUUCUUAGUCUUUUUUAAUGCACUUUUCGUUUAACAAGUCAACAUCAAUUUCUUUUGUUGUAAAAGAGUCAUUGGAAGGUGGCUUUUUCUUCGGAAAAAGUGUUUAUAGCCUUUGGCUUCUGCAAUCGGAGAGAUUGAGGUCUGCAGCGUAGAUCCUUCGGGGUUAGAUACAUUUGUGCUAAGCUAUAGUUCUUUAUAGACAACUUGUUGACUAUAAUCAAUCCUGUAACUUACUCGCUUAUGCUAUUUUACCUACGCUUAGGAUGUUGAAUCUGUGCGAGACUA
RNAcentral lists this ribosomal RNA (773 nucleotides) under uncultured Neocallimastigales. Its description in RNAcentral is "partial large subunit ribosomal RNA". The stretch from base 2 to 693 matches the Rfam family "Eukaryotic large subunit ribosomal RNA", at positions 24 to 664 of the family's 3401-position model. Lineage: Eukaryota; Fungi; Neocallimastigomycota; Neocallimastigomycetes; Neocallimastigales. The record is from RNAcentral.